Molecule: ribosomal RNA, 408 nt
Filed under: uncultured bacterium
Lineage: Bacteria
Description: partial 16S ribosomal RNA
Rfam family: Bacterial small subunit ribosomal RNA
Source: RNAcentral
AGUGAACGCUGGCGGCGUGCCUAAUACAUGCAAGUCGAACGGAGUGGCGCACGGGCGAGUGAUUUAUAGCUAAUCUGCCCGCCACUAGAGGGCAACAGUUGGAAACGGCUGCUUAUACUCUAUAUUGUAGGUGGAGGGGAUAAUGUAUCAGCUAGUUGGUGAGGUAAUGGCUCACGAAGGCUAUGACGCAUAACUGGUCUGAGAGGAUGAUCCGUCACACUGGAAGUGAGACACGGUCCAGACUCCUACGGGAGGGAGCAGUAGGGAAUAGUGCUCAAUGGGGGAAACCCUGAAGGAGCAACGCGUCGUGGAGGAUGGUACUUGGCGGGGCGUAAACUCCUUUUAUUAGGGAAGCGGUACCUAACGAAUAAGCACCGGCUAACUCCGUGCCAGCAGCCGCGGUAAUUC